UUAAAUGAUACCAAAAAGAGGUUUAUCACUGUUAAUGAUAUAAUGAAUAAAAAUUCCAUUUAAA
Molecule: transfer RNA, 64 nt
Filed under: Nipponoluciola cruciata (Japanese firefly)
Lineage: Eukaryota; Metazoa; Arthropoda; Insecta; Coleoptera; Lampyridae
Description: Luciola cruciata (Japanese firefly) tRNA-Asn
Source: RNAcentral